AGAGCUGUGGAGUGUGACAAUGGUGUUUGUGUCCAUCUAUCAAACGCCAUUAUCACACUAAAUAGUUCC
RNAcentral lists this microRNA precursor (69 nucleotides) under Lonchura striata (white-rumped munia). RNAcentral's name for it is "domestica (Bengalese finch) miRNA (ENSLSDG00000016147.1)". It matches the Rfam family "mir-122 microRNA precursor family". Rfam says of the family: In mammals, miR-122 is enriched in liver cells where it has been implicated as a regulator of fatty-acid metabolism in mouse studies. The hairpin precursors (represented here) are predicted based on base pairing and cross-species conservation -- their extents are not known. Lineage: Eukaryota; Metazoa; Chordata; Aves; Passeriformes; Estrildidae. The record is from RNAcentral.